RNAcentral lists this ribosomal RNA (253 nucleotides) under uncultured bacterium. Its description in RNAcentral is "partial 16S ribosomal RNA". It matches the Rfam family "Bacterial small subunit ribosomal RNA", at positions 524 to 776 of the family's 1533-position model. The record is from RNAcentral.
UACGAAGGGUGCAAGCGUUACUCGGAAUUACUGGGCGUAAAGCGUGCGUAGGUGGUUUGUUAAGUCUGUUGUGAAAGCCCCGGGCUCAACCUGGGAAUGGCAAUGGAUACUGGCAAGCUAGAGUGCGGUAGAGGGUAGUGGAAUUCCCGGUGUAGCGGUGAAAUGCGUAGAUAUCUGGAGGAACACCGGUGGCGAAGGCGGCAUCCUGGACCGAUACUGACGCUGAUGAGCGAAAGCCAGGGGAGCAAACGGG